RNAcentral lists this ribosomal RNA (236 nucleotides) under uncultured bacterium. RNAcentral's name for it is "partial 16S ribosomal RNA". It matches the Rfam family "Bacterial small subunit ribosomal RNA", at positions 100 to 334 of the family's 1533-position model. The record is from RNAcentral.
CGGGACGGGUGAGUAACGCGUGGGUAACCUGCCUUGUACAGGGGGAUAACAGUCAGAAAUGACUGCUAAUACCGCAUAAGCGCACAGGACCGCAUGGUCCAGUGUGAAAAACUCCGGUGGUAUAAGAUGGACCCGCGUUGGAUUAGCUGGUUGGUGGGGUAACGGCCUACCAAGGCGACGAUCCAUAGCCGGCCUGAGAGGGUGAACGGCCACAUUGGGACUGAGACACGGCCCAG